This 454-nucleotide ribosomal RNA is filed under the name uncultured bacterium. RNAcentral's name for it is "partial 16S ribosomal RNA". It matches the Rfam family "Bacterial small subunit ribosomal RNA", at positions 28 to 507 of the family's 1533-position model. The record is from RNAcentral.
GAUGAACGCUGACAGAAUGCUUAACACAUGCAAGUCUACUUGAACUUCGGUUUGGGUGGCGGACGGGUGAGUAACGCGUAAAGAACUUGCCUCACAGUUAGGGACAACAUUUGGAAACGAAUGCUAAUACCUGAUAUUAUGAUUUUAGGGCAUCCUAAAAUUAUGAAAGCUAUAUGCGCUGUGAGAGAGCUUUGCGUCCCAUUAGCUAGUUGGAGAGGUAACGGCUCACCAAGGCGAUGAUGGGUAGCCGGCCUGAGAGGGUGAACGGCCACAAGGGGAAUGAGACACGGCCCUUACUCCUACGGGAGGCAGCAGUGGGGAAUAUUGGACAAUGGACCAAAAGUCUGAUCCAGCAAUUCUGUGUGCACGAUGACGUUUUUCGGAAUGUAAAGUGCUUUCAGUUGGGAAGAAAAAAAUGACGGUACCAACAGAAGAAGUGACGGCUAAAUACGUG